This 513-nucleotide ribosomal RNA is filed under the name uncultured bacterium. RNAcentral's name for it is "bacterial SSU rRNA". It matches the Rfam family "Bacterial small subunit ribosomal RNA", at positions 996 to 1509 of the family's 1533-position model. The record is from RNAcentral.
CUUAGCAGAGAUGCUUUGGUGCCUUCGGGAACUCUGAGACAGGUGCUGCAUGGCUGUCGUCAGCUCGUGUUGUGAAAUGUUGGGUUAAGUCCCGCAACGAGCGCAACCCUUAUCCUUUGUUGCCAGCGGUCCGGCCGGGAACUCAAAGGAGACUGCCAGUGAUAAACUGGAGGAAGGUGGGGAUGACGUCAAGUCAUCAUGGCCCUUACGAGUAGGGCUACACACGUGCUACAAUGGCGCAUACAAAGAGAAGCGACCUCGCGAGAGCAAGCGGACCUCAUAAAGUGCGUCGUAGUCCGGAUUGGAGUCUGCAACUCGACUCCAUGAAGUCGGAAUCGCUAGUAAUCGUAGAUCAGAAUGCUACGGUGAAUACGUUCCCGGGCCUUGUACACACCGCCCGUCACACCAUGGGAGUGGGUUGCAAAAGAAGUAGGUAGCUUAACCUUCGGGAGGGCGCUUACCACUUUGUGAUUCAUGACUGGGGUGAAGUCGUAACAAGGUAGGCGUACGUGU